RNAcentral lists this transfer RNA (76 nucleotides) under Ruminococcus sp. RNAcentral describes it as "tRNA-Met". It matches the Rfam family "tRNA". From Rfam's summary of the family: Transfer RNA (tRNA) molecules are approximately 80 nucleotides in length. Their secondary structure includes four short double-helical elements and three loops (D, anti-codon, and T loops). The record is from RNAcentral. Lineage: Bacteria; Bacillati; Bacillota; Clostridia; Eubacteriales; Oscillospiraceae.
UGCAGGGUAGAGAAACGGUAUCUCGUUAGCCUCAUAAGCUGAAACACAGCGGGUUCAACUCCUGUCUCUGCAUCCA